This is a long non-coding RNA of Culex pipiens pallens (northern house mosquito), 1247 nucleotides long. RefSeq lists it as uncharacterized. The record is from RefSeq and is a predicted model, not a curated record. The transcript has 3 exons. Lineage: Eukaryota; Metazoa; Arthropoda; Insecta; Diptera; Culicidae.
CCUACGGCAGUCAGAGUUGAGAUAAAGGUGCCACUGAGAGAGAAUACACGCAAAAUCCAGAUAACACAGAUCUGUGUUAAAAAAUUACACAGAUUGUGGAACAGUUCUGGCUUUCAAAAAUGUGUGAUAUUUUUACACAGAUCUGUGUAAAAAGUUACACAGAUUAUUGGUCAGUCUCCCUUUCAAAAUUUGGGUGAAAAAGAUAAGAUGGCGUUUUCCUGCAACAUUGACGGAACUUGAUUGUUUUGACAAAAUUGCUAAUAGUUCCAUCGUUAUUCAACUGGAAUCGGUCCCAUAGCAUAGAAAUUAUUUUAGGAUUACUCGGAAGGAUACACCUCCGUUCCCGUUGAUCGUCUUGCAUUCACACCGAUUCCGCUUGAAUACGCCAACUCGGAACAUCUCCGGACUGGAAAAUCUGGAUUUAAGGUCAGCUUCAUUGCCUCCCGUGGAAGCUGCUUGACGACUGGAAGACAUUUACCAGGUGUCUUUCGUGACGACGGUGAAGCACCCUUUAAAAUGAAUUUUAGUCUAUUUUGAAAGGGAAUGUAAUGUAUCAGAGAAACUUGAAGUAAUAAAUCAUGGCAUCAUGUUCCUUUUUCAUUAAAUUUUAAAUGAAUUCUUUGUUCAGAACAAGAAAUUAAUGCAAUUUUCUACCCAGAUUCUGUGUAAAAUAUUACCCAGAUAUGUGUAAAAUUUUACACAGAUUGCCGGUUCAAAAAUUACACAGAUUUGACAGACAACGGUUGUACACAGAUCUGUGUACAAGGCUUCUACACAGAUUCUGUGUAUUCCCAGUUUUGGGCGAUCUGUGUCAAAUUUUACACAGAUCUGUGUUAUAUGGAUUUUGCGUGUAAGCUACGCGGAGAGUUGAGUCAGGUGAGGGGUCCUGCAAUGGUUGAGUUGUCUAGUUUGAACUUUUGUGGAAAUCGAAAGCUUUAAAUUAAAUUCUACUAAUGAUGUUUUGUUACCAUCUAACAAAAUUCACCACUAAUUUGACAAAAUUUGGCGUGAAAUUGUUGAUUUUAAACCCUCUGACUCAAAGCAUUCAAACUAUUAUAUUUCACAACGGGUUAUCAGAUUAAACGUGAUUCAUUCUAGUAAUGCAAUUAGUUCUGUUUAAAAUGCAGCUCUGCCAUUGAGCCAUGAUUAUGAAACAGAAUGUUACUUUCUGGUGACGGCACUUGUGCGUAUUUGUUGGUGGCAUAACAAAUAGAUGUAAAUUAAAUUCAAUUAGUUGAUAAAAGUUA